RNAcentral lists this ribosomal RNA (433 nucleotides) under uncultured bacterium. RNAcentral describes it as "partial 16S ribosomal RNA". It matches the Rfam family "Bacterial small subunit ribosomal RNA", at positions 29 to 507 of the family's 1533-position model. The record is from RNAcentral.
AACGAACGCUGGCGGCAUGCCUAACACAUGCAAGUCGAACGAGACCUUCGGGUCUAGUGGCGCACGGGGGCGUAACGCGUGGGAACCUGCCCUUAGGUUCGGAAUAACUCCCCGAAAGGGAUGCUAAUACCGGAUAAUGUCUUCGGACCAAAGAUUUAUCGCCUUUGGAUGGGCCCGCGUUGGCUUAGCUAGUUGGUAGUGUAAAAGCCUACCAAGGCGACGAUCCAUAGCUGGUCGGAGAGGAUGAUCAGCCACACUGGGACUGAGACACGGCCCAGAGUCCUACGGGAGGCAGCAGUGGGGAGUAUUGGACACUGGGCGAUAGCCUGGUCCAGCAAUGCCGCGUGAGUGAUGAAGGCCUUAGGGUUGUAAAGCUCUUUUACCCGGGAUGAUAAUGACAGUACCGGGAGAAUAAGCUCCGGCUAACUCCGUG